RNAcentral lists this ribosomal RNA (555 nucleotides) under Triticum aestivum (bread wheat). RNAcentral's name for it is "partial small subunit ribosomal RNA". The record is from RNAcentral. Lineage: Eukaryota; Viridiplantae; Streptophyta; Magnoliopsida; Poales; Poaceae.
AUGGCCGAAUGCUUCAAUAGGGUGCUCAAAGGUGCACGUGGAUUACCCGUGACGGCAAUAGUUCAAUACACAUUUGACAAGAUGAAUGCGUACUUUGUAAAGUACUCGAUGGAAACCGAUGCACAGAUAGCGGGUGAGAACCCACGGAAGUACAAGUACAAGUUCCCACCCAAAGUUGAUGAAUGGUUGGUAUUUCAAUCACGGAAGGCGGACUCAGAAGAAGCUAUAUUAUAUGACAACGAAGAGUGGAAGUACGAAGUGAAAGAGCCAGGAGGAACCACAAACGACGGCCGGCAACAUGGAGGUCGGGCUUUCAAGGUGUCGUUAACACAAUGUGAUUGCACUUGCGGGAGGCCAUUGUUGCUUCAUCUCCCAUGCUCACAUUUGUAUGCCACCGGUCGCAUUAGGAAUGUGGACAUCAAUCACCCACGCACCGUGAGGGAGUCAGAGUUCUCAAUCAUGACGGUCAAGAAAACAUGGGCUCCCCGCUUUCACCCAUACUUUGACCAAUCACAAUGGCCGGAGUAUCAUGGAGUUCAACUAUGGCUGGAUCCG